This 628-nucleotide ribosomal RNA is filed under the name uncultured fungus. RNAcentral describes it as "partial 18S ribosomal RNA". The record is from RNAcentral. Lineage: Eukaryota; Fungi.
AAGUCGUAACAAGGUUCCGGGAGCGGCCAGAAAUCCUUCUCAACCCCCUCUAUCGAAGCCUUGAAUUAGUAGUUCACUCAAUUGAAUCCAACUCAAUCAAGUGAGCAACACCGGAGAUCUGACUGGGAGUCUAGGUUUAAGCCUAGCUACCAGCAGCCCUUUAGACAUUAAUGUAUGCUAAUUGGGUUCACAGAUCAAUUACUGGUGGCCUAAACUCAUUCACGGAUACUCAUCUCUCUGCUGGGCGCUUUGGUGGACUCUUGCUUCGGUAAGAUAACCCAAUUCUCCCUUGAUAACUUUUUGAACAUGGAGGCUAACUGGUUGUUUCGUUAGUUGUGGACCCUGCAGUUCAUGCCCUUUGGUCAAUGCUUCGAUGCACUUGCUCAAAUAUUUAAUUCAAACAACUCUCGAUCUUGCAAGGACCGGUAAUCAGUUGUCCCAAUUCACGUCUGAAGAGAUGAGCGAGCGUUUAAGAGAAUAAUUAGGUUAAAAUAUGACCGGNCCUAUCCAGAUAAUGNAUAGAAAAUUGUGUUCCGUAGGUGANNCUGCGGAAGGAUCAUUAAAGGNUUCGGGUACCCAGUGCCCAAACUUCAACCCUAUGUUUUAACUAAACCUGUUUCUUUGCCGG